This 76-nucleotide transfer RNA is filed under the name Sphaerodactylus townsendi. RNAcentral describes it as "tRNA-Leu". Lineage: Eukaryota; Metazoa; Chordata; Lepidosauria; Squamata; Sphaerodactylidae. The record is from RNAcentral.
GGCGACUGUGGUGGUUCAGGGGUAGAGCAAAUGUUCAGCAUGUCAAAGGUCCCAGGUUCAAUCCCUGCCAUUGCCA